UGGGGAAUUUUGGACAAUGGGCGAAAGCCUGAUCCAGCAAUGCCGCGUGUGUGAAGAAGGCCUUCGGGUUGUAAAGCACUUUUGUCCGGAAAGAAAUCCUUGGCUCUAAUACAGUCGGGGGAUGACGGUACCGGAAGAAUAAGCACCGGCUAACUACGUGCCAGCAGCCGCGGUAAUACGUAGGGUGCAAGCGUUAAUCGGAAUUACUGGGCGUAAAGCGUGCGCAGGCGGUUUGCUAAGACCGAUGUGAAAUCCCCGGGCUCAACCUGGGAACUGCAUUGGUGACUGGCAGGCUAGAGUAUGGCAGAGGGGGGUAGAAUUCCACGUGUAGCAGUGAAAUGCGUAGAGAUGUGGAGGAAUACCGAUGGCGAAGGCAGCCCCCCUGGGCCAAAUACUGACGCUCAUGCACGAAAGCGUGGGGAGCAAACAGGAUUAGAUACCCUGGUAGUCCACGCCCUAAACGAUGUCAACUAGUUGUUGGGGAUUCAUUUCCUUAGUAACGUAGCUAACGCGUGAAGUUGACCGCCUGGGGGAGUACGGUCGC
This 544-nucleotide ribosomal RNA is filed under the name uncultured bacterium. RNAcentral describes it as "partial 16S ribosomal RNA". It matches the Rfam family "Bacterial small subunit ribosomal RNA", at positions 355 to 889 of the family's 1533-position model. The record is from RNAcentral.